Fukomys damarensis (Damara mole-rat) is the source of this 436-nucleotide long non-coding RNA. RefSeq lists it as uncharacterized. The record is from RefSeq and is a predicted model, not a curated record. Lineage: Eukaryota; Metazoa; Chordata; Mammalia; Rodentia; Bathyergidae. The transcript has 3 exons.
AGAAGCGGUUGCCUUCUGGAGGAGGCCCAGAGCCCGAAGGGGCGGGGCUACGCGUGACGGCCACGGCCCCGCCCCGCCAAGCCCCGCCCACCGCCGGAACGCACGCGUACUUCUCCUUCAGUUGGGCUCCAGCUCUUCUCGCCGCUGUCCCCGCCCACUAAAGCCUUGCCCUCCCUGCGUCAGGCGCGUGCGCAGUGUUCCCGCGCCGCUUCAAGACGUCGCCUACGUCCCCCUGAGCCCGCCGUCCUGCUGCACAGCGAGGUCAGGCUGUGUAGUCCUAUUAACACUGAAGCUGGAGAGGAGGCCCAGCCCCUGCUGCAACAUGUUCUUCAGGGAGAGAGAGACAGAGCUGCAAUGACCCAGAAAUUUGUUGGGAGUCCUGGAGGCUGAAAGUCCAAGAACACGGAACAGGCAGUUUUCAUGUCUGAUAAGAGCU